UAUUUUCACAUUUAUUUUUCCAGAGCCAAUGAAAGGAGCAUUUGACCGUCUCCAGUGCUAACACCCAUUACCAUUUUGGAGCAUGCACAGUCUCUGCUUUGCUGGCAAUGAGUGCAGUUAUUGUUUGAAGGGCUGAGAAGUGAAAUCCUUGGAAGCAGAGCUCUGUGGGCUCUCUGCAGACCACAGUACCCUCCCCCAUGUGUCUACAGGACACGGUGUCACAGUGGCUCUCCAGAAGCCCGUGGUGUGAGUGUUGCAGUGGGGUUACCCUGUGAGCAGUGGGGUUACCCAUGGGGUGCCCACAGCUGGAGGGAUAUUAUAUACAUUUCUACCCUCUUCAGAAUAUGGUGACACGCAGGGAAGGGCACUGUCCUUGGUGGGUGCUGCAAGCUAAGCGAGGGAGGGAGCAGAUCCAGCAGCAUCCUCAGCUCUUGGCAGGCCCACAGAGCUAAGGCAGAAGGAGCACAGUGGCAUAAGCAUGGCCCUAGGGAGGAACUCCUUAAUCAUCCAUUAAGGUCCAAUAAAGAGAGCUGAGGCAGCCUGGCAGAGCUCUGCACCCUGCCUUCAGACUGCUACGUCUGGGAGAGAGGAGCCCCACUGGUGUCUCAACCCUUUC
Molecule: non-coding RNA, 616 nt
Organism: Cyanistes caeruleus (blue tit)
Lineage: Eukaryota; Metazoa; Chordata; Aves; Passeriformes; Paridae
Source: RefSeq, a predicted model, not a curated record